UCGUCUUCUUCGCUACGUUCGGUUCAUUCGCACGCACUGUUUUGAUGGUUUCGAAUGCUGCAUGUAGUUGAUAAGUUGAAAUACCGAAUUAUUGUGUAAAACUAACUGUGAAAAUGGUUGAGCAACAAAAACAACGUAUCGAGCUCGAGCUCUCUCAGCGUGUCGAUGAAUUGGAUCGUACAAUCUUGCGUAAGAUGCAGGCCGAAAUGCAUGAUUGUGCUGCUCGCUGUUGUCGUGAUACGGGAGGUAGUAUGGAAUCUGUUCAACGGUGCGUAGAAAACUGUUCCAUCCCAGUGCAACGUGCACAGCAGCACGUUGAAACAGAACUAGGUAACUUCAACAAUCGUCUUCAACGAUGCGUCAUGGAUUGCAAUGACAGUAUCAAGGAUAAGAUGGGUCCAACUCCGACGGAUGAUGAGAUUUCCAAAUACACUGCCAUGUUCGAACGGUGCGCAAUCAAAUGCGUGGAUAAGCAUGUAGAUAUAUUGCCUGGUCUGUUCAAGUCAAUCCAGCAAGUUUUGGGGAGUAAACGAUACUAAAUGUUUUCGAUGGCAGUUAUGGUUUGGGUUGUUUUUCGUAAACCAUUCACUCAGUUACACAACAGCAAAUUUGAAUAAGAAGCUAUAGAAAAAGGAAAUAUUAGUCUCAUGUCACACAUUUGACUAUUACGAAUGCUUAGAUCUAAGAUACAUGCAUUUAUGACGUACGAUUGCGAUAGAACAAAUGUAAAAGAAAUCCUUAUAUUGAUAAACUAAUACUUAAUAAUUGCCGUAAAAGAAUCGUAUACUGCCGUUCUAAGCAUAAUUGUGCCAUAUAUAGGAAUUUCCAUAUGAUAUGGGACAAUUAUGCGUGGAAUGGCAGUAUUUAUGAUUCAAAAAUUUAAUUUAGCUAUUUCUGUAGUAUCGGUUUGUUCUUGGCUCUUCAUUUCUUAACAAAUAAGUGAUAAUAUUAACCGCAUGUUAAUUUGGGUUUCGCUUAUAGUUUGUCAUAAAACUAAACGAAAAGGAAAACAUUCCCGUGUGGUGUUAAAACCUAUACUUUAUUUGCAAUGCAAUGUGGAUGUUGACAGGUGGCUUACUAACCGUUCAAAAAAGCGACAAAGGUAGUUGAGGAUGUGCAAGCAGCUAAAUAUGCAAUAACACCACAACAACAGCUAAAUAUGCAAUGACAACAGCAACACUAAGAACAGACAUCCAUGUAGUGAUUUCAAUGCACGUGAGAAAUACUGUUUUACAAAGUGAUCAACAAGUAGCAGCCCAGAAAUCGCUUAUAGGUCCUUGUGUUCGAGUUAUUUCAUGCAUGUAAAAUCGUACGCAAGUGAUUUUUGGUAAUUUUUACUUGUAUGCUUUACAUAGUUUUCUAAGCUAAGGCACAGAUAACAGACAUCCAUGUAGAGAUCUCAAAGUGUGUAAGAUAUUUAACGGUUCUUUGGCAAAGUGAUCAUCAAAUAGCAAUCGCCCCCACUGCCCCUAAGCAAAAGCGGCCCUGCUUAACACUACUCACAAUGUUCUGUACAACGUUUGGACCAACUUUUUUUUCGUGAAAACUCUUAUUUUUAUAUUUGACUCCCAUUUUACUUCUCUGGGAAGUUACCGGAACGCCUGCUUCAUGAUGGCAUUUCAAUGAGCCGUAGUUUCUGUGCGAUCGGGGGAUUAAUGUCCUUAGGCACGAAUUCGACCUCAUUAGCCUUGCAUCCCUCCAAAACAUCCGGUGAGUAAAGCGUAUGACCAUUAUGUGACCUUAGAAGUGGAAGUUGACACUUUUGAAUGCAUUCCUUUAGGUAUACGUGCCUAUUGAUUGUACCGCUUUCUACAUGAGUAUUUUUUAUU
This is an RNA transcript of Malaya genurostris, 1829 nucleotides long. It is a transcript of the gene named protein FAM136A, with no coding region annotated. The record is from RefSeq and is a predicted model, not a curated record. The transcript is spliced from 4 exons. Lineage: Eukaryota; Metazoa; Arthropoda; Insecta; Diptera; Culicidae.